CAGAGUAGGAGACUGUGCGUGAAGUGUCCGCAGGACGGGGAGUUGUCUGUGGAACGAAAGGUGCUGAUGGUACGGCACUUGCGGUACAGUCUUCGCAUCCCGCUG
RNAcentral lists this non-coding RNA (105 nucleotides) under bovine gut metagenome. Its description in RNAcentral is "THF riboswitch". It matches the Rfam family "THF (Tetrahydrofolate) riboswitch aptamer". From Rfam's summary of the family: THF riboswitch presents a pseudoknot that joins P1-P2 and the loop of P3 and two THF binding. The record is from RNAcentral.